GACUAACGCUGGCGGCGUGCCUAACACAUGCAAGUCGAACGAGUUGUAUAUAGUAGCAAUAUUGUAUACGGCAAGUGGCGAACGGGUGAGUAACACGUAGAUAAUCUGCCUUUCAGACGGGGACAACUCAGGGAAACUUGUGCUAAUACCCGAUGAGACUACGAGGGGGGACUUUCGUAGCCAAAGGUGGGGGCAACCUCACGCUGAAAGAUGAGUCUGCGUCCUAUCAGCUAGUUGGUGGGGUAAAAGCCUACCAAGGCGAAGACGGGUAGCCGGCCUGAGAGGGUGAACGGCCACACUGGGACUGAGACACGGCCCAGACUCCUACGGGAGGCAGCAGUGAGGAAUUUUCCGCAAUGGGCGCAAGCCUGACGGAGCGACGCCGCGUGAGGGAUGACGGCCUCGGUUGUAACCUACUUUAUUAGGUAAAAGAACAUUGUGCUAAUACACGGAUGUUUGUAUUGUACCUGUUGUAAUAAGACCCGGCCUAACUACGUGCCAGCAGCCGCGGUAAA
RNAcentral lists this ribosomal RNA (515 nucleotides) under uncultured bacterium. RNAcentral describes it as "bacterial SSU rRNA". It matches the Rfam family "Bacterial small subunit ribosomal RNA", at positions 28 to 524 of the family's 1533-position model. The record is from RNAcentral.